Molecule: long non-coding RNA, 1417 nt
Filed under: Gallus gallus (chicken)
Lineage: Eukaryota; Metazoa; Chordata; Aves; Galliformes; Phasianidae
Description: lncRNA (ENSGALG00010023922.1)
Source: RNAcentral
AAAAGGAUUGUAGCUGUGCCGAGCUAAGAAUCUUCGAACUACUGGUGAUGUUUCACUGCGAGAAAGCAGGUUGCAGGCUGCCACCAGCCACACUUGCGACUCAUCCAGCCUUUCCCGUGGGUUGGAGCAUUCCUGAUUUCCAUGUGGCCUCAGCUUUCUCCCGAUCUCCUGGAGGCGCCUGCAUUUCUCCUCAAGCUGAUCGCUGAGUAUUACAAGUUUGGCCCCAGCCUGCAGGAGCCUCUGCUGCUCUUGGCAGUGUUCAGGAGGGCCUUCCACUCUCAGCAGGCAUGGCUGGGCCUUCCACUGCUGUAUGGGAUUUCCCUGUGGCCUCAGCUUUCUACCGAUCUGGAGCUGCCUGCAUAUCACCUGCAGCCGCUCUCUGAGCACUUCAAGUAUGGUCCCAGCCUGCUGGAGCCUCUGCAGCUCCUGGCACUCUUCAGUAAAGCCUUCCACUCUCAGCAGGCAUGGCUGGGCCUUCCAUUGCUUUUUGGGAUUUCUCUGUGGCCUCAGCUUUCUCACAAUCUGGAGCUGCCUGCAUUUCUCCUCUAGCUGAUCGCUGAGCACUGCAAGUUUGGCGCCACUCUGCUGGAGCCUCUGCAGCUUUUGGCACUCUUCAGGAGGGUGUUCCUCCCUCUGCAGGCAUGGCUGGGCCAUCCAUUGCUGUUGUGGAUUUCCGUGUGGCCUCAGCCUUCUACCGAUCUGGAACUGCCUGCAUUUCUCCUGCAACUGAUCGCUGAGCACUCCAAGUUUGGCGCAAGCCUGCUGGAGCCUCUGCAGCUCCUGGCACUCUUCCGGAGGGCAUUCCUCCCUCAGCAGGCAGUGCUGGGCCUUCCACUGCUGUUUGGGAUUUCCACAUGGCCUCAGCUUUCUCCCGAUGUCCUGGAGCUGCCUGCAUAUAACCUGCAGCCGCUCUCUGAGCACUCCAAGUUUGGCCCCAGCCUGCUGGAGCCUCUGCAGCUCCUGGCCCUCUUCAGGAGGGCCUUCCUCCCUCAGCAGGCAGUGCUGGGCCUUCCAUUGCAUUUUGGGAUUUCCUUGUGGCCUCAGCUUUCUCCCAAUCUGGAGCUGCCUGCAUUUCUCCCCCAGCUGAUUGCUGAGUAUUGCAAGUAUGGCCCCAGCCUGCUGGAGCCUCUGCAGCUCCUGGCACUCGUCAGGAGGGCAUUCCUCUCUCAGAAGGCAGUGCUGGGCCUUCCAUUGCUGCUGUGGAUUUCCCUGUGGCCUCAGCUCUCUCCCGAUGUCCUGGAGCUGCCUGAAUUUGUCCUGCAGCCUCUCACUGAGCACUCCAAGUUUGGCCCCAGCCUGCUGGAGCCUCUGCAGCUCCUGGCCCACUUCUGCAGAGCGUCCCUCUCUCAGCAGGCAGUGAGACAAGGCAGACUUCUCCUUUCCAAGGAGUCUGCCUUGUCUCUGUAGAUCCUUCAGC